Molecule: ribosomal RNA, 207 nt
Filed under: uncultured bacterium
Lineage: Bacteria
Description: partial 16S ribosomal RNA
Rfam family: Bacterial small subunit ribosomal RNA
Source: RNAcentral
CAUGCAGGCGGUUUAUCAAGUAGGAUGUGAAAGCCCCGGGCUCAACCUGGGAAUUGCAUUCUAAACUGAUAGACUAGAGUAUUGCAGGGGGAGACGGAAUUCCAGGUGUAGCGGUGGAAUGCGUAGAUAUCUGGAAGAACACCAAAGGCGAAGGCAGUCUCCUGGGCAAAUACUGACGCUCAUAUGCGAAAGCGUGGGUAGCAAACA